Molecule: transfer RNA, 67 nt
Filed under: human gut metagenome
Rfam family: tRNA
About the family: Transfer RNA (tRNA) molecules are approximately 80 nucleotides in length.
Source: RNAcentral
CUGGGUAGCUCAGUUGGUAGAGCAGCGGACUGAAAAUCCGCGUGUCGGCGGUUCGAUCCCGUCCCCA